CUGGUGCAUCACUUGAGCCCAGCAAUUUGAGACCAAUCUGGGCAACAAAGUGAGACCUCCA
Gorilla gorilla gorilla (western lowland gorilla) is the source of this 61-nucleotide microRNA precursor. It matches the Rfam family "mir-1285 microRNA precursor family". The record is from Rfam. Lineage: Eukaryota; Metazoa; Chordata; Mammalia; Primates; Hominidae.